UGGACAUACACGCGUUGGGUUAUUGUGGCAGUGAAAUGUCGGGAUGGAGUUAAAGCUCCAGGCUAGGAAAUAGAAAUAAUUUUUUCUAUGUAGGAGAUUAAUUAUGAGUAGGAAGGGAGGACUACCAGUUGAACAUGGUGAACAAAAUGAAGAAUGCUGUAUUUCACAGUUCAUUCUGUAUGAUUUUUAAAUCCUUGAAAUUUUACCUUUUAUGAAAUCUGUCUAUUUUUCAAAUUAAAUAUAAAAUAGAAGUCAUCAUAGAAACACAAACAAAAAUUAAGAGCAGCAACGAUUGGGAAGAGAAGCCUGUGAAGCUCCUCUUCAAAGCUUUGUUUUUUUAUAUAUACAAAUAAAACGUUUACCUGGACAUACUACGGGAUAAUUUAAUGCUCUGUGUGUGUAUUUCAGAUGGAAGUGGUAGCAGUCAGGGAGAGAAGUACUCCUUUUCAACUCCUCUAGUAUGGAAAGCAGUGAAGUGUGAAAUGACAGCAAGAGAAGCCAGAGGAGAACAGGCAACUGAUGAAGAGUUACUGGAAUGGAGAAAAUAUUUCUGGAUUGGAGGCUAGGAGCAGACUAGAAAACUGUUACGCUGCUCAAUGCAAGCAGAAGUGAGCAUUCCAGGAAAAUUUAAUUUUUUUUAGAGCGAUCAGAAUAUUGAUGCUGUGAAAUUUGAAAGCAUGAAUUGGAUGACUUGGUUAUGGAAGACAUUUGCCCAUCAUUAAUGGUGAAUGAAAGCAGAUUCAAGAACGUGAUUAAUAGCAAACUCUUCAAUGACAAAGCAGAGGAGUUAUGGAAGAACCGCUAGGAUCAUCUGCUGGCAGCCUGGCUGGUGAGCCUUGAAACAAAGAAGAGCAAGUGUUGCCUCGAUGAACCAUGCGGCUGUUUAAUCGUAGAGCCCACGGAACCAUUAACUCAGGUUUCCUUCUCCUUUUGCGCUGUCACAAUAACAUUUAGUUUACUAGGUUACAACAUCAGGUGGGAUCGUGUUUUUCACAACAUAUGGAUUAACAUACUCCAUUGUCAGUGGCAAUAGACCACAAUUUAUUUCAAGUGAGUUCAAAGACUGUGUGAGACAAAAUGGGAUGUGACACAGAACACUGAUACUGUUGUGGCCUCAAGCAAAGGCAGAAGUUGUACACCAAACCAGUGCAUUGCUAAAGGCAACCAGAACAGCGCCAGCACAAAAACUAAUAGACUGGAAAUAAAAAAUAAGAGUAACCCUAGUGGCUUACA
Molecule: long non-coding RNA, 1233 nt
Filed under: Struthio camelus australis
Lineage: Eukaryota; Metazoa; Chordata; Aves; Struthioniformes; Struthionidae
Description: lncRNA (ENSSCUG00000011951.1)
Source: RNAcentral